Molecule: long non-coding RNA, 377 nt
Organism: Megalobrama amblycephala (Wuchang bream)
Lineage: Eukaryota; Metazoa; Chordata; Actinopteri; Cypriniformes; Xenocyprididae
Exons: 4
Source: RefSeq, a predicted model, not a curated record
CGACGCGUGUUAUUUCGUCGUUUGUUUCUUUUUCACACGAGGAGCUGUUGUUGGGCGUGUAAACUUAGUUUGAACCUCUGGCUGUCGGCGAACACCGCGGCCGCGCCCGCGCCCGCGCCCGCACCCACGCUCCCAGCAGAGGAGGGAGGAUGAAGCGCGAAAAUGGUCAAGAAGAGAUGCUUUGGAUUAGAAGUAAAAGUUGUCAACGACGAGCCUGACAUCAGCCUGAUGGUACUUCAAUGGCCAGCUCUUUCUACAGUAAACCAGGUUGCAGCUGACAAGGACUCAUACAGGCAAACUUCAGUGAGAAUUGUCUGUGUUGAUCUAUAAAGUGCUCAGCUAAACCCAUCAUGAGUGAAGAUCGUCUUGGAAGGACG